CAUUUAAAUUUCUUUAUUAAUUUCUUAUAUAUAAUUUAUAUUAAAUAUAAAAAUAUAUUUUUUAAAUAAAAAGACGAUAAGACCCUAUUAAAUUUUACUUAUAGUUUAACUGGGGAAGUUUUAAAAAUAAAAUUUUUUAUAAAAAUAAAAAUAAAUCUAAUAAAAUUAAAAUUAAAUUAAAUUACUAUARGGAUAACAGCAUUAUAUUUUUUAAAAGUUCAUAUUAAAAAAAAUGAUUGUGACCUCGAUGUUGAAUUAUAUUUUCUUUAUUAAUGCAAUAAUUAUAAAAGUAGAUCUGUUCGAUCUUUAAAAUAUUACAUGAUUUGAGUUCAAACCGGUGUAAACCAGGUUGGUUUCUAUCUUUUUAUAAAUUCUAUAUAUAUAUAUAUAUAUAAAUUUUUCAAGUACGAAAGGAAAAAAAAAUUUUUAUUUUAAUUAAUUAGCAAUUAAUAUGCAUUAGAUUUAGAAUCUAAAUAAACUAUUAUU
RNAcentral lists this unclassified non-coding RNA (486 nucleotides) under Anelosimus eximius. RNAcentral's name for it is "partial contains 16S ribosomal RNA and tRNA-Leu (trnL)". The stretch from base 192 to 351 matches the Rfam family "Bacterial large subunit ribosomal RNA", at positions 2473 to 2632 of the family's 2925-position model. The record is from RNAcentral. Lineage: Eukaryota; Metazoa; Arthropoda; Arachnida; Araneae; Theridiidae.